Molecule: long non-coding RNA, 1700 nt
Filed under: Daphnia pulex (common water flea)
Lineage: Eukaryota; Metazoa; Arthropoda; Branchiopoda; Diplostraca; Daphniidae
Description: uncharacterized LOC124208535
Source: RNAcentral
GCUCCGCUAUGUCACGCUCAUCUGAAAAUCAACCUCAAUAUCAAUCAUUCGUUAAGAGCCCUUAAGGAAGAACCCUCGGCUGUGAAUGCCAAAUGACUAUUGGCUACCUGGAGUAUAUGUUUGAGAAAGGCAAGAGCAAGAAGGAAGGCAAGAACAAUGCUCCAAAGACACUGUUUCAGGUGCAUAGCUCCAGGCAAAGGUAAUAUCCGUAUUUGAAAAGAAAACAAGCAGUAAAAAUGAAAAGAAAAGGGACACAUUUUGAAUCGAACUAUUUAUUUCCGAUUACCGAAUUAAUGAAAAUCAAAUCAUUUUAGGUAUAACAGUGAUAUGGUCAUAAGGAUCUAAUCUAGUUAUUAAAAUUUUGUGAUUUGUUUUCUUCCAAUAGAAGAAAUUUGAAUAUUGACUUUAUCGGCAUGAAAAAUAGUUACAUCAUUAGAUUUCCAAGAGUAACAAAAGUAGAUCAGAAUUAGAAUGUGUCCGUUACUUAACGGUUUUAUUGGCUGGUCAGACGUGAAGGCGUGCAAGUGGAAGCAACAAAAUCUACAAAUUCAGCGUACGCAACCAGUUUGCCUGACGAGAGAACAUGGUUCGGUCGGUUGGUGUCUUAAUGCAUGUUUGGAUUUAUGUUUAGUGUAAUUAAAUAGUUUUGUGGUCAGAAAACAGUUUGUCCUCCUUCCAAACCCCCAACUUUUAUUUUCAAAAGCUGAAACUGCAUUGAAACUGUUACGUUUAGCAAUUAACCCUUUCUAAAAAAAAGUGAUGGGACCUUUUCUAGCCGUUUUGCAGCUUCACAAUUCGGUAUCAAAUAUGAAUAUUAUAUGAACGGUAAAAUGAAUUCUAAAAAUUAAACAUUAGAAUUUUUACUAUUUCACACUUCAUAAUUAAAACAAAAACUCAAUUUGGAUAUUUAUUUUUUUUUGUUCAGAAUCAAAGCCCAUUGUUCACUGUAAAUUCAAAAGGCAUAUGUUGUAUUUAAUUACAUUACUACUUCAGCGUACUGUGAUAACUAAUAAGAUUGCUGAACCGCUCCUCUAGGCUCUCUAGGCUUUAACUUUAAUCAAGCGCCUCUAGUGAGAGCGGUGAACAACUCCGUUUUACACUUGUUAACAACAUUCACUUAAACCUCGUAUCAAAACACUUCCAAAACCAAUGAUUGACUACGAUGACAACCGCAUUAACGUUGCCAUUUUUUAAAAAGGGAUACAGCAAUCCAAGUAUGACAAUACGGGUAGGCCGGGUAGGCACGGUAGAUAUGUUGGUUGUAGCAAUCCGUGUGCAAGGUUCUAGCAAUCCGUGACAUAUAUACCAAUUGCCAUUGGUAAUUAUAGCUACCGCUAUAUAUGUCAUGGAUUGCUAGAACCUUGCACACGGAUUGCUACAACCAACAUAUCUACCGGGCCUACCGGCUAUAGCUGUCAUCAACUCCCGUUGAAUAAGAGUCAGGGCAGAUACGCAGUCAUUUCUUAAAUGGCUUUUAAGCAUUUGAUUAUCUUUUUCUUAAUAUAAAUUAUGAGAAAAGGUACGAAGAGAUAAUAUACUGUAAUGCGCAUCCAAUGAAAAAAAAACGGAGAAAGGUUUCAAAUUCCUUAUUUGAAAACCCCGGUAUUGUUUAUUCAAAGUUGUCACGCUGGACGAAAGAAUGUAUCCCAUUGUAUUUUAAAAAUCCAUACGGCAAUCAGAGCCGCAAUGUUUUUACUUUU